RNAcentral lists this ribosomal RNA (253 nucleotides) under uncultured bacterium. RNAcentral describes it as "partial 16S ribosomal RNA". It matches the Rfam family "Bacterial small subunit ribosomal RNA", at positions 524 to 776 of the family's 1533-position model. The record is from RNAcentral.
CACGUAGGGUGCGAGCGUUGUCCGGAAUUAUUGGGCGUAAAGAGCUCGUAGGCGGUGUGUCGCGUCGGCUGUGAAAACCCGCAGCUCAACUGUGGGCUUGCAGCUGAUACGGGCGGGCUGGGAUUCGGUAGGGGAGACUGGAAUUCCUGGUGUAGCGGUGAAAUGCGCAGAUAUCAGGAAGAACACCCGUGGCGAAGGCGGCUCUCUGGGACGGUACUGACGCUGAGACGCGAAAGCGUGGGGAGCGAACAGG